RNAcentral lists this transfer RNA (68 nucleotides) under Marmota monax (woodchuck). Its description in RNAcentral is "tRNA.Ala". Lineage: Eukaryota; Metazoa; Chordata; Mammalia; Rodentia; Sciuridae. The record is from RNAcentral.
GGAUUGUGGCUCAGUGGUAGCGCGCUUGCCUAGCAUGCAUGAGGCACAGGGUUCGAUUCUCAGCACCA